RNAcentral lists this ribosomal RNA (382 nucleotides) under uncultured eukaryote. RNAcentral describes it as "partial 18S ribosomal RNA". It matches the Rfam family "Eukaryotic small subunit ribosomal RNA", at positions 592 to 976 of the family's 1831-position model. The record is from RNAcentral.
UGUAAGCGUAUACCAAAGUUGUUGCAGUUAAAACGCUCGUAGUCGGAAUUUGGCAGUUCCGGAUGUGUGCACGUCGUGUGCGCACUUCGCGGGGAUUGCUUUUGUGGUCUUGCGUAGGAUGAGGCACUUUUAUUAGUGAACGUCCUCACGCAACCACUUUUUACUGUGAGAAAAUCAGAGUGCUCAAAGCAGGCAUUUGCCGUGAAUGUAUUAGCAUGGAAUAAUAGAAUAGGACUUGGUUCUAUUUUGUUGGUUUGUUGGGACUGAGUAAUGAUUAAGAGGGACAGUUGGGGGCAUUUGUAUUUCGGUGCUUGAGGUGAAAUUCUUAGAUUACCGAAAGACAAACUGCUGCGAAAGCGUCUGCCAAGGAUGUUUUCAUUGA